UACGGAGGGUGCGAGCGUUGUCCGGAAUCAUUGGGCGUAAAGGGCGCGUAGGUGGCCCGGUCAGUUCGUGGUGAAAGCGCGGGGCUCAACCCUGCGUCGGCCAUGAAUACUGCCGCGGCUGGAGCACUGUAGAGGCAGGCGGAAUUCCGGGUGUAGCGGUGGAAUGCGUAGAGAUCCGGAAGAACACCGGUGGCGAAGGCGGCCUGCUGGGCAGUUGCUGACACUGAGGCGCGACAGCGUGGGGAGCAAACAGGAUUAGAUACCCUGGUAGUCCACGCCGUAAACGAUGGGCACUAGGCGCUUGGGGGAGCGACCCCCCGAGGGCCGGCGCUAACGCAUUAAGUGCCCCGCCUGGGGAGUACGGCCGCAAGGCUGAA
Molecule: ribosomal RNA, 377 nt
Filed under: uncultured bacterium
Lineage: Bacteria
Description: bacterial SSU rRNA
Rfam family: Bacterial small subunit ribosomal RNA
Source: RNAcentral